Molecule: non-coding RNA, 73 nt
Organism: Melampsora americana
Lineage: Eukaryota; Fungi; Basidiomycota; Pucciniomycetes; Pucciniales; Melampsoraceae
Source: the annotation of a GenBank genome assembly
GAUCCACUAGUCAAGCGGUUAAGACAUGACAUUUUCACUGUCACAUGCCUGGGUUCGAACCCCAGGUGGAUUA